Molecule: ribosomal RNA, 429 nt
Filed under: Verrucomicrobiota bacterium
Lineage: Bacteria; Pseudomonadati; Verrucomicrobiota
Description: Verrucomicrobia bacterium partial 16S ribosomal RNA
Rfam family: Bacterial small subunit ribosomal RNA
Source: RNAcentral
UAGGGAAUCUUCCGCAAUGGACGAAAGUCUGACGGAGCAACGCCGCGUGAGUGAAGAAGGAUUUCGGUUCGUAAAACUCUGUUGUUAGGGAAGAAAAAAUGUAUAGUAACUAUAUACAAAAGAGACGGUACCUAACCAGAAAGCCACGGCUAACUACGUGCCAGCAGCCGCGGUAAUACGUAGGUGGCAAGCGUUGUCCGGAAUUAUUUGGCGUAAAGCGCGCGCAGGUGGUUUAGAAAGUCUGAUGUGAAAGCCCACGGCUCAACCGUGGAGGGUCAUUGGAAACUAAUAAACUGGAGUGCAGGAGAGAAAAGUGGAAUUCCUAGUGUAGCGGUGAAAUGCGUAGAGAUUAGGAGGAACACCGGUGGCGAAAGCGGCUUUUUGGCCUGCAACUGACACUGAGGCGCGAAAGCGUGGGGAGCAAACAGG